AACGCACAUUGCGCCCUCUGGUAUUCCGGAGGGCAUGCCUGUUCGAGCGUCAUUUAACGACAAUCAAGCCCCGCUUGGUGUUGGGUAUCCGUCCACCCCUGGACGGGCCCUAAAGUCCUUGGCGGUGGCCCCGAGCCUCAAGCGUAGUAGAACUCCUUCCCGCUUGCAGAGGCCUCGCGGUCGCCCGCUUCGAAAGACCCCAAAAUCAAAAUGUUGACCUCGGAUCAGGUAGGGAUACCCGCUGAACUUAA
RNAcentral lists this unclassified non-coding RNA (251 nucleotides) under Dothideomycetes sp. Its description in RNAcentral is "partial contains 5.8S ribosomal RNA, internal transcribed spacer 2, and large subunit ribosomal RNA". The stretch from base 1 to 52 matches the Rfam family "5.8S ribosomal RNA", at positions 103 to 154 of the family's 154-position model. Lineage: Eukaryota; Fungi; Ascomycota; Dothideomycetes. RNAcentral also lists the same sequence under 1 other name. The record is from RNAcentral.